RNAcentral lists this ribosomal RNA (549 nucleotides) under uncultured bacterium. Its description in RNAcentral is "bacterial SSU rRNA". It matches the Rfam family "Bacterial small subunit ribosomal RNA", at positions 355 to 896 of the family's 1533-position model. The record is from RNAcentral.
UGGGGAAUAUUGGACAAUGGGCGAAAGCCUGAUCCAGCCAUGCCGCGUGUGUGAAGAAGGCCUUUUGGUUGUAAAGCACUUUAAGUGGGGAGGAAAAGCUUGUGGUUAAUACCCAUAAGCCCUGACGUUACCCACAGAAUAAGCACCGGCUAACUCUGUGCCGGCAGCCGCGGUAAUACAGAGGGUGCAAGCGUUAAUCGGAAUUACUGGGCGUAAAGCGCGCGUAGGUGGUUAUUUAAGUCAGAUGUGAAAGCCCCGGGCUUAACCUGGGAACUGCAUCUGAUACUGGAUAACUAGAGUAGGUGAGAGGGGAGUAGAAUUCCAGGUGUAGCGGUGAAAUGCGUAGAGAUCUGGAGGAAUACCGAUGGCGAAGGCAGCUCCCUGGCAUCAUACUGACACUGAGGUGCGAAAGCGUGGGUAGCAAACAGGAUUAGAUACCCUGGUAGUCCACGCCGUAAACGAUGUCUACCAGUCGUUGGGUCUUUUAAAGACUUAGUGACGCAGUUAACGCAAUAAGUAGACCGCCUGGGGAGUACGGCCGCAAGGUUA